Molecule: transfer RNA, 66 nt
Filed under: Dipodomys ordii (Ord's kangaroo rat)
Lineage: Eukaryota; Metazoa; Chordata; Mammalia; Rodentia; Heteromyidae
Rfam family: tRNA
About the family: Transfer RNA (tRNA) molecules are approximately 80 nucleotides in length. Their secondary structure includes four short double-helical elements and three loops (D, anti-codon, and T loops). Further hydrogen bonds mediate the characteristic L-shaped molecular structure. tRNAs have two regions of fundamental functional importance: the anti-codon, which is responsible for specific mRNA codon recognition, and the 3' end, to which the tRNAs corresponding amino acid is attached (by aminoacyl-tRNA synthetases). tRNAs cope with the degeneracy of the genetic code in two manners: having more than one tRNA (with a specific anti-codon) for a particular amino acid; and 'wobble' base-pairing, i.e. permitting non-standard base-pairing at the 3rd anti-codon position.
Source: Rfam by way of RNAcentral
GGUGGCUCAGUGGUAGAGUGCUUGCCUUGCAUGCAUGAGGUCCUUGAGUUCGAUUCCUCAGCACCA